AACAAGGCGUACCUGCGGACCUGCGGAAGGAUCAUCAUCGAAUUCAUAUCCCCCUCCUCUCCCGAGGGGGACCCAUGAUAAACCCUCUGUGCACAGUAAACCGUUCACUUUGGCAGGCUUUGGUGGUGAGCGGCUCGUCUCCAACCUCGCGUUCCCUCCUCCCUAAGGGUGUUACGCGUGGCGGCCUGCCGAAGUCCUCCCAUUAAAAACACGUUUUCGAACACGUCUGAAAUUUCCUUU
RNAcentral lists this unclassified non-coding RNA (240 nucleotides) under soil metagenome. Its description in RNAcentral is "partial contains 5.8S ribosomal RNA, internal transcribed spacer 2, and large subunit ribosomal RNA". The record is from RNAcentral.